Molecule: ribosomal RNA, 465 nt
Filed under: uncultured bacterium
Lineage: Bacteria
Description: partial 16S ribosomal RNA
Rfam family: Bacterial small subunit ribosomal RNA
Source: RNAcentral
GACGAACGCUGGCGGCGUGCUUAACACAUGCAAGUCGAACGGAAAGGCCCUGCUUGCAGGGUACUCGAGUGGCGAACGGGUGAGUAACACGUGGGUGAUCUGCCCUGCACUUCGGGAUAAGCUUGGGAAACUGGGUCUAAUACCGGAUAGGAGCCAUCUUUAGUGUGGUGGUUGGAAAGUUUUUUCGGUGUAGGAUGAGCUCGCGGCCUAUCAGCUUGUUGGUGGGGUAAUGGCCUACCAAGGCGGCGACGGGUAGCCGGCCUGAGAGGGUGUACGGCCACAUUGGGACUGAGAUACGGCCCAGACUCCUACGGGAGGCAGCAGUGGGGAAUAUUGCACAAUGGGCGCAAGCCUGAUGCAGCGACGCCGCGUGGGGGAGGAAGGCCUUCGGGUUGUAAACUCCUUUCGCUAGGGACGAAGCUUUUUGUGACGGUACCUAGAUAAGAAGCACUGGCUAACUACGUG